CCUCAGUUCCACUCGUUAGGACUCUGACAUGAUAAGCUGGUUCCCACCACUUACUCCUGGUUCUGAGUGUAAUUGCAUUUCACAGGCAGACAGUGUGUGUGCGCGGAAUGAGUAAGCGGACGCCUCGGUGACUCAAUUUGUCUGAAAUCACUACAUCUCACCGCCGAUAUUACCGUCUUACACGUGUAAUUUUGUGUCUUUUGGAGGACGGGACUCUGUGAACGAGUAUUAGUCUGAGUUAGAAGGUAAACAGAUCAGGAGGGAGGGGGUGAGAGCAAGAGUGAGAGCGACAGAGUGACAGACAGAGGGGCAGAUGGAGGGAGGAUAAAAAAGGUGCAUUGCCAAUUUUUUGACUUUCAAAUUGGAGCAGAGCGUCCACCAUGAUGAGGGAGAUUGGAAACCUAUUAAAAACUAAGCUGAGAAAAACAAUUGGGUCCUAAUUUCUGCCAAGAUGAGCCAGACUCUGCUUGGACCGGGCGAAUAAACAUCUCCGACUCUGAUGAGGAUUUAAAGGUAGGAAACAGAGAGAGGGGAUGACAGAUCCACCCCCCCGAGUCAUGAAUCUGCAUUUGGAAGUCCUCCAGCUGGAUCCUGUUCGGGGUUUCCAUUUGGUGUUGACCUUGUGAUGACUUUCAGGUUCGCUGUUUUCCUCUUUUGUUAAUUUGAAAUGUUUGAUCAAUCCUUUAUUCAGAGAUGACUCAGGAGAGGUGACGAGAAAUGAGAAAAAGCAAAAACCAGAACGUCUUCUUGAGGUGGUCUAAAGAUAAAAGACUUAUUCUGUGUUCCAGUUGUACUCAGAAGUCGGGAUUUCCGAGCUCUGAGUUGGAGAUUCGUCUUUAUUUUUUACUGCCCAACGUCGAAUGGUGAACAUGGUGCCGACAUGCCACCGACUUGUUUACUGUAACGCUGUCAAUUCGGGUGUAGCGUCAUUCCCAGCUCCGACGUCCGUGGUAACUGGAACGCAGGAUUAGAUCUACUAUAGAUGUCAGAACAUGAAACAUCUAUGUCAGAAACUCUAUCCUGUUACUCAAACAUGUCAGGAACCGACUGCCUGCAGUGUCUGCAGACAAGACGAGCUUCAGGGUUCGUUCCGGUCGUACUUCGCCACUCCACGACAUUUUUGUUUGAAGACGGUUGAACGUUUGUGGAGGUUGUUGUGGUUUUAACCCCGAUAAAGGAAACAAAAACAUCCCUCAGACCGAGCUUCUCAUUAAGACCUUCUCAUUAAGACCUGGUUCUGGUCGCGCUUAUCCAAGGCUUGAUUGAUGAUGGGCAGCUGGACCCAAACCAAGUCUAGUACCCUGUUGCGGACGGACAAAAUUGUCACCCCAACUGUUUGUGAAGUUUGAUCAGCCUCCUGAUCACGUGGAGUUGGGGGGGGAGGAGCCUAUGAGAAGGUUACCUCAAGCCCAUGAGAAUUUGUGAGACAAUUCACGGCAAGCCAGUGGGCGGGGUUAAUGACAUCACAUGACAGGUGCGAACCCAAAACGGUCGACGAUGGAGGGUGUUUUAUCGGCAACAUUAGCGCUAAUGUUCAAAGGAGGGUGGGGCUACAUGAGUUUGGCCAAAAAUAACAUCCUGAUUUUUUUCUCUGAAAACUCGAUUUUUGAUUUCUAUUUUUUAUUCAUAUUAAAAAUAAAAAGUUUUUCUCUCACAACGAAACCACUGAAAACGAUGUAGUACAUAUGCCAAGUCAGUAAGUGGCGCUGUAACGCUGCGUGGGUACACUUAAAAGAGUUAAAACUGAGCAGAACUUUUUACGCUAACACCGUCUAGACGUUACAUAACUAGAUGCCAUCUGUUAUCUGUUUGUUGACUCUGGAGUAGGAGUGGCUCAGGCUAACGAUGGCUGCCACAGCUUAGACACAAGACAAGACGAGCUUUCAGAUUAGAUUAGAUAAUCUUAUUAACGACCAGAGUAGAAACUCAUUUAUCACAAGGUUAAUCCAUAAACACGACAAAAACACUGACAAGACAACCAAACAGAGUCCGCCUUCUUGAUCAGCUGAUGGAUAUAAUUUUGAUAAGAUGGUUCAUGCUGACUGAGUCUAAAAUACAGAAUCCAGGAGUAUUUCAGCGAUCACAUGAUCCAUCAGGUGAAAAAAAACACGUCCAACAGGAGGAUCUAUCAUCCUUGUUCUUGCAAAAACUCAAAUUAUCCGUCAUUACCAGAGUGGUCGGUCAGAGCAGGAAUAACGGAUUUUUCUGGUGCAGCCGCUCAUUUAGAAACUGAAGCUGAUUUUAGAUGUAAAAACGAGUCAAAUACUGAGCGGUGUUUAAGUGAAGUGAAUGUCAGCCCGUGUAAUCCGCUGUAUGGUCCUUAACUGAUGACGCCCUUCUAUAUCUUUAUGACUGCAUUUUAUAGGCAUCAAUAAGCGAUAAUGGCUUUCGCUUGGAUUCACUCCUGAAUGCACUUCAUGAAAAGAGACAAAUGCAUCAUGUCGCUCGUAUGUUGAGUGUGUUCGCGGAGUUUAACUAUGAUGUUGAAGCAGAAGAUAGAAAUCAACCAGAGUCCUUGAAGGAGCCCAAUUACUCUGCCUCUUCAUAACAGACGAACGUCGUCGCCGCAAUCAGACCUUAACAAGCGCAGGUCCUCCAUCUCGAGAUGCAAACAAUGUCGGGGAUGGAUGGGACCAGCUGUAUGAAAUAUUCAGCUGCUGUAUACUCAUUAUUUCACCGGAGCACUCAGCAUGGUGCAGCCCGGCUAAGUGGUGAUUGAUUGCUGGGAGAGAGGGAGAAACAAAGAGAGAUGGCGGAUCCUGUAUGCAAGAGGAGGAGGAGGAGGAGAAGGAGGAGAAGGAGGAGGAGGGAAAAAAGCUGCGGAAUAUUUCAGAGCUUUUAUGUCUGUGUGUGUGUGAGAGUGUGUGUCUGUGUGUGUGUGUGAGGCAGUAAAAUCAAGACACAGCACACAGUGUGACGCAACUGUAACCAGUUUCAAAAUUCAAUUAUCUCAGCGGCGACAAUAAAAAUGAAUGGAGCAACAAUAAAAUAAGUGUGAUGUCCCGGUUUCUACAACUCCGGGUUUGACUGCCGGUGGGAGUUAAUUUGAAUCUUCGGCGCCUUUUAAUCUCUGCCAAAUAAAAUGAUUAUUUCUGCUUUUUUUAUCUGGAGCACAAGAGACACAAACUUCAAACCAAAACUGAUGGACUAACUUUGUUUGUUUACCCUCCUAAUAACAGAAACAGGCGCUGAAUUCAGCACUGUGGUCUUCAGACUGUCCUGUAACAUGUACAGACGUUUAUACGAGCAGCACUGGGACAAAGUGGUCAUUUACUGUGAAACUGCCGAUUGGUCUCUGAAGCGUUCACAACAAUUAAAGUGGCAUUAAGGUCCCAUUCAUUAACAUGCGGAAGCAAUCAAGGUGUUUGGGUUUUAAAGUUCUGUCCAUAACUUACAGAAAAGUUCAAUAGUUUGGGAAAUUAGCUUGUUUGUUUUAAAGCGAUUAAAGGUCUUCUAUAAUGAUGUUAUUUAGCUAUUUACAACAUGUCCUAGUUGGGUUUAAACUCAAACAUCACGAGUUCAGCCUCUGUGGGGAUCUGAAACCUCUCGAUUCCUACCGUUAAUGAGGCGAGCUCUAAUAUGUGGUCAAAAAUGUGGUCAAAAAGGGAAUAUAAGCUGAUGUGUAAAGAUGCAGAGGCGGAAAAACACCAAAACAAUCAUGGCGAGCUCUCCAGAAGAACCCAGACAACAAACCCAGCGCUGAACUGACCCUCACUGUUAUUGCAGCAGUUUGAGGUGAAGUCACUAGUAUGAACAAAUUAGCAUCAAACUUAGCUAAACUUAAAAAGUGGUAUACAUGCCAAGAAAACCUCAGUAGAGUUGGAGAAAGCGCGACCACAUAAGGAGUGGGAGUGUUUUAACUCAUUCCUGUCGUGACAUCAUCACAGGAGCCAAUUCAAAUCCCCUUAUAGAGGCAGUUUUAAUUACAUAUUUUAACUAAAACAACACAGAGAUACUUUUGGCUAACAAAUUUUCAGAGGAAAACUAAAGUUCACAUAUACAGGGAAGAGAAAAUUAGCCGAGCACCGAGCUUGGACAAAAGACUGGAUACGUUGUUGAGGCCAAACAGGAAAUCUAAUUUAAAUGAUGAAUUUAAUUUACGCUAAACUAGCUCAAGGAAAGAAUAUUAAUUUAAAGCUGGUUUUAAUUUUCUCGCCUGCUUAAUUGUUUAUACUUUUAGUCAACAUUUAAUUUGAAGUAAUUUCUAAAAGGUAAAAGGACUAAAUUAAUAUUUUCACCUGCUGCCCGUCCCCAUGUACCUGAGUCACUGCCUGCUGGCCAGACGACUGAGAGCGGGAAAGUUUGUUGACUGAAAAGAGCAGAUUUGCCGAUAUAUAGUUACCUUUUAUUUACUUUAAUCUGUAGAGUGACACGUGUAAAUCCUGUAAUUUUCUCAUAAACCUUGGAUGUGACGCUGGAUCCACAGCUGCUUUUUGUUCAGACUGUGUGUAUUAGACCCACUCAGCGAUAGUUUUCUUCGGAAACUAGAAGCCACUACAUUCGUGCAAGAACAGCUUUCUAUGAGAAAUCUGUUUCACUUUAUUUUUAUACAGUCCAAACAAAAGACCUGUAUUACCCAACAUUAUCACAGGUUACCAUUUCCCCCUGUUUAGUCUACGUUAGCAUCAUGCUAAGGUCAUUUUCGAAUGGGGGUGGGUACUAUAGCAAAGUUUGGAUUACUGUUAUCGUAUAUUUAUCAACAUAUAGUAGUUUCCUGUAUAUUCAAUCAUGAACAAACCUGCCAGGACUCCAGUUUGGCAGAUUGUACUUUGCAGAGAAACUAGAGUCCACUUUCCAACGGACAAUGGUUCAACUCCCUGCUUUAACCUUCAGCAUGCCCCGCCCCCUUCUCUAUACUCCUUCCUGUCUUUUCUGGCUCUUAUAUCAAUAAAGGAAAAAAGGCACCAAAAAUUAGUGAAAAUCUUUACUGUUGGAGACAUUUUGUCCGUUUGUUGACCAAUUUUACGUUGACUAAUUAACAAACAAUGCACCUCCAAUGCUCUGGGAGCGAACAGACGAAGUGACGAGUUUUCACAGUUUUCCCCGAUUUACUCAUAUUGAUCAUCCAACCAAUCGCCCAAUCAGAGUCCUUUCAGGGUCCAUUUGUCCAAUUCUUCUCUCCAUCCCACAAUCGGUGAAUAAUGGACGUCAACUGGACUUUAGGUGAGUCGAAACCAUCCAUUACUCACCCCCCUCAUCAGAAGAUCUCUGCCUCCACGCUGAAGAAGCUGAUAACGCCGACCGUCUGCCAGCGUGGUUUGAUUGCUCGACAGACAAAUGUAGCCAAAGGGAAAACACUCAGCGUGAUGGAUUCAGGCGAGCUUAAUGAAAUGCUGCUGUUGUGAGCUGGCACCGCUCAGAAACUGUGGCCCUCAUAAAGGUCGCCAUGAAUCAAGUCGCUCCCUUCCCUGCCUACCACAUUUAUGAUUUUAUGAAAAGCUGACCCCAGCCGAACACAUAAAUAUCCAACCGAGUGUUUAAGAGCCGAGGAAAGAGUUUGAAAGUUUUAAAAAUCCUAAAGAGAUCCAAAUGAAUGUCAAGAGAUCCUUUUGACGUUAUCUACCGUUGAACACCUGCUCUCUACGUCUCCAACCUCAGGAAAACGGAGGGAUAACGGAGAGAGAGAAAGAAGUCAAACUAAAUCUACUAAUACCAGCUCUAGUUUUUCACCCUUUGGAGCAUCUCUACAAGAGCUGUGGCGAUACACUAAUGCGGCCAACGUGCGUCACCUUGUCCGGGUAGGUUGGUUGUAUUUCUAGAAUAUUUCACGUUUGUGUGAAACAGCCGACAAACCGCCAAACUUUUAUCUAGAUUAACUCUGUUCUUCUUCCUUUCCUUCGUUCCCACACAUCUGCUCUUAACCCUGAGAACUCCAAGCUAUAUUUUGCUAUUUUUGGUCUUUAAAAAUCUAUGAAACAACUCAAUCCUUUCGAUCACAGCAAAUCUAAACACAUCUUUUUUUUCAGGACAAUCUCAGCUUAACCAGAAAACAAAAACGGAAACUGAUCCCAACAGUAUUUCGCUCCAAAAAACACAUAAAUCUACAGUGACCAAGCCUUUUCUCACCUGAACAUCAUUCUCUCAAGUCUUGUCUAUCAGGAGAAGAAAUAUUGGGAUUGGAACAAACACACAACAGAAACUAUUGACAUAUUUACACUCAUUCUUCCAGGUGUUUUUGACUAUAUACAGUUGUUUCUGCCACUCCUUGAAGCAGUUCCUGUCUGGGAUGAGACAGAGGACCACAUCAUACUGCUCACAAUCUCUUCUCUGUUUGUUUCCAAACAUUAUUAGGACCAUUAUUUCUGAUUUUGAAGACAAGCAGGGAACUUUCUCGUCUCUUAUUGGACACUACCGUCAAAGGAACAAUAGAAGAAGAAUAUGAGACCAUGUGAUUGGUCGAGAGUUUGACAGAAAAAGACGUCAUCAAAACAGCUCGUCAAACCGGAAGACAUUAACGAUUAAGUGAUCUUUUUUUUAUCACAAUAAUCUGAUCAAUAAUCCUAUUUUCACCGGUAUAUCACUGCGGAUUUACCAUCAAACGUCUCUGAUCAAACACCUGUUUUUGUGGCUGGAUUGUAAACCUUGUAGCAGGUGUAGAAAUGUCUGGAAACCCUCAAUAGAUCGCCAAAAGGGUAAACUUUUGAACACUUUUGAUCCCGUAGAGAUACACGGUAUAGAUCCUGAGAAACUGUAAACUAUAUUAAAGGUGUCGCAUGGGAUCGCCGGCAAUCCAUCGCAGAAAUCCGAAAAUACACUUAAGGGCCGAUUUUGGACGAAAAUUUUCGGUGCAUCCCGACUUUUGAGCAUGAUGGUGCAGGAGUCAUAUUCCCUGCCAUUGUCUUAAAUGUCCUCGCUCUGACUCCAGCGGCUGGCUAACCUAAUCACUCUUCCUGCAAAGCGAACACAGUAGGGGUGUGGGGGUGUGGAGGGGCAGCUAGCAGAGUGCCGGGUGAAAAAGGGGGAUUUAAAUGAGACUUGAUGUAUUGAUACUUGUGGCUGAAAAAUCAAUACUUUCUGGGGUAAAAAAAUAUUGAUUUUUAUCCCUGAAUUGAUAAAAUCGCUAAUCUCUACAUCCUCUCCUCUUUUCUACAUCUUUAAAUUAAAGGAGUAAGAGGAGGUCGAGCGCACAGAUCAAAAUAAGCCUCCCACCUUGACUUGGUUCUCUGUUUUCUAAAAUUCCUGAUACGUCUCGUUUCUUUUCUUUCUUUCUUCCUGCAUGAAAACAGGAUGUAAGUAGUGAUGGGCGAUAAACGAUAACAAUCUUAAUUUAAUUUCCCGCAGUGUAUUAUUUUCUUUAAUAUCGUGAUGUAUCGAUAUUGACUGAUAUGAAAAAUAUAUCGUUAUAAACUUUUUCCCAUAUUGUCCAGCCCUAGAUGUAAAGGGAGGUAGAGCGUACAGCCUCACCUGGGAAGGAUGAACUCGAGCUAAAAUGAUCUUUUCCCCUCGUCUUUUUUCUGACAUCUCUCUCUCUUUCUACUUUCAAACUUCCUUUUUCACUCUUAUUGGAACGAAGGUUCAGGGAGGGCCGACCAGACACAUCAUGAGCCUACCUCCAUGAACCGCUGCUUCAUAAUCUGGUGGUGUACUCGCUCUUGCAGCCCAUCUAUCUUCAUGUUUGGAUAUGGAGACACUACAGGCCAUAUGGUAGGUUAUGUAAUUAAUCAACAGAGCACAAACGUUGGGAGGAGGAGGAGGGUGUAGAGGAUGGCUUUUUCCACUGAGCCGUAUAUGUGUUUUUCUCAGAUUGAAUCAUUAACCGAGUGUCUUACUCGUAUGAAACGAUGCAUUAUUCAACCGUAUGUCUCCUUUUAUUCCUGUUUUAUCAUCUUAACUAGAUGCAGCACAUGUCUGUUCACCGCCCGUCUGCUUCUGCCCAGAGGUUUCUGCGUGAUAGAAGAAAAGAUUUCUCCGGUCUAAACCUUCAUACUCUGUUUGAUAAGCUGACGGUGAGAGUGAGUCGGUCUGCCGCCUCAUCCUUCAGUCUGUUUGAUGUCGCUGAAAUCGUCAGAGUACAGCGAAAAAACAAUGUCAAAGAGCGACGUGUGUGUGUGUAAUGCUGACUCACUCACUAUAAGACAGCAGGUAACAGGUGCACAGGUAGCAGAUGUCUAGAAAACUAUUGUGCAGCAGUGAUCAAUAAAGCAGCGUGCGUGCGGAGGUGGACAAAUAGCGCUUCAGAGAUUUCACUUCUUCUUCUUCUUCUUCUUCAUGUGGUUUAAAACAAGAGAGGAGAGCUAUUGACAGAACACCUACAAGUGGGCCUGCAGCCAUCAUGUCAGUAUCGAACAGGCAUUAACGGUGCAGCCGAGCGCCGAACCGUGCAGGACGGCCCUCCAUCAAAAUGAGCUCAUCAGCCUGAAGGCGAACACGCAGCUGUACGACUGCGAACAGCUGUUUAAAGAGUUAAACUGAGGAGGCUGUCUGUUUGGAUGUAAACAGGAAGAACAUCUGUUUACCGUCUGGUUCUGAGGACGAGAGGACGGGCGGAGAAAAGGCUGAUGUUUAACGACACAGGUAACGACGACAAAGCUGCUUAUUAGUUAUCUUUAUAUGAGGUAGGGCUGGGCGAUAUGGCCUCAAAUCAAUAUCACGAUAUAUUGAUCAGUUCACCUCGAUAACGAUAAAUGGACGAUAACUACUCCACAAGCUGAUCACCCCCUCCCACAUUAACUUCGUCUACUUCAGCCGCUCCAACUUUCUCUCCGUCCUCCAUCUCCUCACCUGUCUUUCCCUCUUUAUUACAGACUGGAUGGGGUGGAGUCACGUCUCUGAUGUAGGACACCAUCUUAAAGGGACAUGAGACCAUAGCCUACCUACACACAUCCAAAAACAACUUUGAUUUAUUUAUUUAUUUGACAUCGAAUAUACUGAUAUGGGCUAAAUGACGUCGGUUAUUGUCGUAAAUUUUGGUAUCAGUAAAUUCUCGCUUUAUCGCCCAGCCCUACUUAAAAGGUUCAAAACUGAGCAGAACUAACGCUAACACCGUGUAGACAUUACAUAACUAGAUGCCAUCUGUUAUCCGUUUGUUUCCUCUGAGUAGGAGUGGUUCAGGCUAACGAUGGCUGCUACAGCUUAGACACAACACAAGACGAGCUUUUGGAUAAGAGGACGUGAACAUGGGCAUAGUCACGUUGGUUUAUCGCUCAGCCCUAAUAUGAGGAACAGUCAAGACUUUUUCUUUUACACACUUCAGUAGUUUAGUUAGAAUACACCAAUGUGACAAAUUAAGAGCCAAAAAGUUAAAUAAUGCAAAAUAAAAAUCUUAAAAUGAUGAAAUGUAGAGGACUGGGUCGAGGUAAUGAUCGAUAUAUAAAGAACGGAGAAGCUGACUGUCUCAUGUCGACUAAAAACAGAAACUUUUAAAAAAUACAGGAAAAACUGGGCUGAUUUUGAGUCUCAAUUGAGAGCAGACUUAUAGAUUAUUGAUCCUUUUGGUUCAAACUUGUUCAUUAUUCAUAUGUUUAUUAUGUUUAUUAUGUUUAUUAUGUUUACCCCCCAACAGAAGAAAAGAGACAAAGAAAGAGAGGAGUGAAAAAAGGACAUGAGUGAAAAGUGUUUUAUUUUACUUCCCAGUAAUUCUCCUGUAACUUAAGAAGUUUAUGUCCAUGUGACGGAGAAAUAUGAUAUACAGUUG
Molecule: long non-coding RNA, 9634 nt
Filed under: Xyrichtys novacula (pearly razorfish)
Lineage: Eukaryota; Metazoa; Chordata; Actinopteri; Labriformes; Labridae
Source: RNAcentral